Molecule: ribosomal RNA, 301 nt
Filed under: uncultured bacterium
Lineage: Bacteria
Description: partial 16S ribosomal RNA
Rfam family: Bacterial small subunit ribosomal RNA
Source: RNAcentral
CAGUAGCCACGGUAACACGGAGGGUGCAAGCGUUGUCCGGAUUUAUUGGGUUUAAAGGGUGCGCAGGCGGGGGGGUCAGUCCGCGGUGAAAGACGAUCGCUCAACGAUUGCAGUGCCGUGGAUACUGCCCUUCUUGAAUCUGGUUGAGGCCGGUGGAAUUGACCGUGUAGCGGUGAAAUGCAUAGAUAUGGUCAAGAACUCCAAUUGCGAAGGCAGCCGGCUGGGCCAGCAUUGACGCUCAGGCACGAGAGUGCGGGGAUCAAACAGGAUUAGAUACCCCGGUAGUCCCUGUCUCUUAACA